UGUUAAAAAUUUCAUCUAUUUCUACUAUAUUUCAGAAUAAGGUACACAAGACAUGUUACCUGUAACUAUCUAGUUAUUUUGUUAGGUACACCAAUUUUUAACAAUAGAAAUGGAUGGAAUUUUUAACA
Non-coding RNA from Gossypium arboreum, 128 nucleotides. The record is from Rfam. Lineage: Eukaryota; Viridiplantae; Streptophyta; Magnoliopsida; Malvales; Malvaceae.